Acanthosepion pharaonis is the source of this 113-nucleotide non-coding RNA. Lineage: Eukaryota; Metazoa; Mollusca; Cephalopoda; Sepiida; Sepiidae. The record is from the annotation of a GenBank genome assembly.
UAUGGCCACAUCAUAUUGAAACACUGGUUCCUGUAUGAUCACUGAAGUUAAGCAACAUAAGACCUGGUUAGCCCCUAGAUGGGUGACCACUUGGGAAUACCAAGCACUGUAAG